GACGAACGCUGGCGGCGUGCUUAACACAUGCAAGUCGAACGGUAAGGCCCUUCGGGGUACACGAGUGGCGAACGGGUGAGUAACACGUGGGUGAUCUGCCCUGCACUUCGGGAUAAGCGUGGGAAACUGGGUCUAAUACCGGAUAGGACCACUGCCUGCAUGGGUGGGGGUGGAAAGCUUUUGCGGUGUGGGAGGGGCCCGCGGCCUAUCAGCUUGUUGGUGGGGUGAUGGCCUACCAAGGCGACGACGGGUAGCCGGCCUGAGAGGGUGACCGGCCACACUGGGACUGAGAUACGGCCCAGACUCCUACGGGAGGCAGCAGUGGGGAAUAUUGCACAAUGGGCGCAAGCCUGAUGCAGCGACGCCGCGUGAGGGAUGACGGCCUUCGGGUUGUAAACCUCUUUCAGCACCGACGAAGCGCAAGUGACGGUAGGUGCAGAAGAAGGACCGGCCAACUACGUGCCAGCCGCCGCCGUAA
Molecule: ribosomal RNA, 478 nt
Filed under: uncultured bacterium
Lineage: Bacteria
Description: partial 16S ribosomal RNA
Rfam family: Bacterial small subunit ribosomal RNA
Source: RNAcentral